UGGGGAAUAUUGCACAAUGGAGGGAACUCUGAUGCAGCGACGCCGCGUGAACGAAGAAGGCUUUCGAGUCGUAAAGUUCUUUUAUAUGGGAAGAUAAUGACGGUACCAUAAGAAAAAGCCCCGGCUAACUACGUGCCAGCAGCCGCGGUAAUACGUAGGGGGCCAGCGUUGUCCGGAAUCACUGGGCGUAAAGGGUUCGCAGGCGGAAAUGCAAGUCAGGUGUAAAAGGCAGUAGCUUAACUACUGUAAGCAUUUGAAACUGCAUAUCUUGAGGAGGGUAAAGGUAAGUGGAAUUUUUAGUGUAGCGGUGAAAUGCGUAGAUAUUGAAAAGAAUACCGGUGGCGAAGGCGGCUUACUGGGCUCAUUCUGACGCUGAGGAACGAAAGCGUGGGUAGCAAACAGG
This 403-nucleotide ribosomal RNA is filed under the name bacterium. RNAcentral's name for it is "partial 16S ribosomal RNA". It matches the Rfam family "Bacterial small subunit ribosomal RNA", at positions 355 to 776 of the family's 1533-position model. The record is from RNAcentral.